ACGGUUUUGGGUGAUUCAAAAGCCUAAAUCGCUUAGAAUCUCGCCCUCUUUCAUAAUCCAAGCUUUGUUUUGAGUGGGGAGCAUUGUGGAGAGGGAUAUUGCCUCUCAAAAAUUCGGCCCUUUGGAGAAAUUUGGGGUUUUGGGAAGUUCAACCUCCAUGGGAGCUUGAGGAACACUCCUUGCUUGGUUGUGUGACCAUUGGUGGAUUGAGACAUUUGGAUCAACCGUGAGUGAUCAACCAUUGGAGCAAGCUAUGGAGCUUGAAUAGCUCAUUGGAAUUGGUGUAUGUUUGUAAAAGUUGAUUGCUGAAACUGUUGGUGAAGAACAAAGGUCGACUGAAGCAUUGAGGUAAGCCUUCGGACCUUGGGUGUAAUUCCCUUGACUGUUCUACCAAGCCCUGA
Long non-coding RNA from Gastrolobium bilobum, 401 nucleotides. RefSeq lists it as uncharacterized. The record is from RefSeq and is a predicted model, not a curated record. The transcript has 3 exons. NCBI's taxonomy places the organism in Eukaryota, Viridiplantae, Streptophyta, Magnoliopsida, Fabales, Fabaceae.